This 210-nucleotide ribosomal RNA is filed under the name Triticum aestivum (bread wheat). RNAcentral describes it as "partial small subunit ribosomal RNA". Lineage: Eukaryota; Viridiplantae; Streptophyta; Magnoliopsida; Poales; Poaceae. The record is from RNAcentral.
AUGGUCAAGUGGGUGGACAUUUGCAUGCCCAAGGACUGGGGAGGCCUAGGUAUUAUGGCCUCCCAUCGUAUGAACGUCGCGCUCAUGCUGAGUUGGGUUCGGAGGAUCAUGCGAGGCGAUGGGGGCUUGUGGCUUCAGACCAUCCAAGCAAAAUACCUAAGGGGUGAACCCUUGUUGGCAUGUUCCCGCUCAAGAGGAUUCCAGUUUUAG